RNAcentral lists this ribosomal RNA (771 nucleotides) under uncultured Neocallimastigales. RNAcentral describes it as "partial large subunit ribosomal RNA". It matches the Rfam family "Eukaryotic large subunit ribosomal RNA", at positions 24 to 635 of the family's 3401-position model. The record is from RNAcentral. Lineage: Eukaryota; Fungi; Neocallimastigomycota; Neocallimastigomycetes; Neocallimastigales.
GUAGUCUCGCACAGAUGCAUAUCAAUAAGCGGAGGAAAAGAAACUAACAAGGAUUCCCUCAGUAACGGCGAGUGAAGCGGGAAGAGCUCAAAUUUGAAAUCUUGAAAGGUCACCUUUCACGAAUUGUAGUUUAAAGAAGUGUUUUCUGUUACGAUCGUAAUAUAAGUUCUUUGGAAUAGGACAUCACAGAGGGUGAGAAUCCCGUCUAUGAUUGCGAUUUGUAGCUUUGUGAUACACUUUCAAAGAGUCGGGUUGUUUGGGAAUGCAGCCCAAAACGGGAGGUAGAUUUCUUCUAAGGCUAAAUAUUGGCGAGAGACCGAUAGCGAACAAGUACCGUGAGGGAAAGAUGAAAAGAACUUUGAAAAGAGAGUUAAAUAGUACGUGAAAUUGUCAAAAGGGAAGCGUUUAACACCAGUGUUGUUUUCUGAAAAUCAACCUCUGUUAGCUUUAUGCAUGUUUGUUUAGACCUAAUCAGCUAUCUUGCAUGUUCUAUUGUUUGCAGUGGUGCACUUUUCAGUUUACAGGUCAACAUCAGUUUUUUUUACCGUAAAAAAGUUAAAGAAAGGUAGCUCAUGGCUCCGGUCGUGAGUGUUAUAGUCUUUUUCCUAUGCGGUAGGAGAGACUGAGGUCUGCAGUGUAGGCUAUUUGGCUAGAUACUCAGGUGCUAUGUGAUACCAUUUCAUAAACAACUUGUUGAUUAUGUUUUGUCUAUUGCAUACUCGCUUGUACUAUCAUACCUACGCUUAGGAUGUUGAAGAUGUAGCACAUCAU